RNAcentral lists this unclassified non-coding RNA (860 nucleotides) under Hevea brasiliensis (rubber tree). Lineage: Eukaryota; Viridiplantae; Streptophyta; Magnoliopsida; Malpighiales; Euphorbiaceae. The record is from RNAcentral.
UGGCAGAAAUUUUGUGUAAUCAAACGGGGUUUCGAGUAAACAAAUGGAUAGGAGUUUUGUGCAAGAAGAAAUCAAGAAUCAAGAAAUUGAUUUGGUGGUGAACAAAAUCUUAGGAAAUUAUAGAGAAGAAUGAGAAACAAAAUUGAUGGAAAGAAGAAGGAAAGGGAAAAACUAGAUUCAAGAGAGGAGAAAGAGGAGAAGAAGAAUUACCAAUAGAAACUCGUAGCCAAAGAUCCUUAACUUUGAUACCACUGAUGCAAUUUCAAUAGAAAAGAGAGAAUUAGAAGAAGAAUACUUGGAGAGGAGAAAAAAGAAUCCAGAUAAGAGGAAUUUCGUUCAAUCAACCUCUGAAGGUUUCUCUUUUAUACAAAUCGUCACCCUAACAGGUUAACAACCCACAGUAAUCAAUAUUAGACUUGUAUUAUCGGGAUUCCCUUUCUACAACACCGCAACUCAAACUUAUUGGAUUGGGUCAAAUUUGCCCAGCAGCCAACAAAGCUCAUACUCCUUCCCCCGUGCUGUCUGCAUCUGAUCCCUUAAGCCACAUCAUCGUCACGCCACUGCUUGCUUCACGCCAAGUCAUCUACCACCUCGCUGCCACUUCAGCACCUAGCACAUAAAAAAAAAAAAAAAAUUCUGGACAGACCUAUCCUUGCUAAUCUCAAUGUGUUGAUUCCGAUUUUGGUGACCGUUUUGAGUAGAAAAAAUUAUUUAAGGACGACGAGCUCUGAAUUGUGUCUUUUGUGAGACUUAUAUUGUGGACUAAAAUUGAAAGAUUACAAGCUAAAAUCGAUGACUGCAAGGUAUCUAUAUAGAUUAAGUCAAUGACUAUAAGGUACAACAACUAAGCCUUAAUCCCA